RNAcentral lists this ribosomal RNA (1272 nucleotides) under human gut metagenome. Its description in RNAcentral is "bacterial SSU rRNA". It matches the Rfam family "Bacterial small subunit ribosomal RNA", at positions 8 to 1238 of the family's 1533-position model. The record is from RNAcentral.
AGAGUUUGAUCUUGGCUCAGGAUGAACGCUGGCGGCGUGCCUAAUACAUGCAAGUCGAACGAACUUCCGUUAAUUGAUUAUGACGUGCUUGCACUGAAUGAGAUUUUAACACGAAGUGAGUGGCGGACGGGUGAGUAACACGUGGGUAACCUGCCCAGAAGCAGGGGAUAACACCUGGAAACAGAUGCUAAUACCGUAUAACAGAGAAAACCGCCUGGUUUUCUUUUAAAAGAUGGCUCUGCUAUCACUUCUGGAUGGACCCGCGGCGCAUUAGCUAGUUGGUGAGGUAACGGCUCACCAAGGCGAUGAUGCGUAGCCGACCUGAGAGGGUGAUCGGCCACAUUGGGACUGAGACACGGCCCAGACUCCUACGGGAGGCAGCAGUAGGGAAUCUUCCACAAUGGACGCAAGUCUGAUGGAGCAACGCCGCGUGAGUGAAGAAGGGUUUCGGCUCGUAAAGCUCUGUUGUUAAAGAAGAACGUGGGUGAGAGUAACUGUUCACCCAGUGACGGUAUUUAACCAGAAAGCCACGGCUAACUACGUGCCAGCAGCCGCGGUAAUACGUAGGUGGCAAGCGUUAUCCGGAUUUAUUGGGCGUAAAGCGAGCGCAGGCGGUCUUUUAAGUCUAAUGUGAAAGCCUUCGGCUCAACCGAAGAAGUGCAUUGGAAACUGGGAGACUUGAGUGCAGAAGAGGACAGUGGAACUCCAUGUGUAGCGGUGAAAUGCGUAGAUAUAUGGAAGAACACCAGUGGCGAAGGCGGCUGUCUGGUCUGUAACUGACGCUGAGGCUCGAAAGCGUGGGGAGCGAACAGGAUUAGAUACCCUGGUAGUCCACGCCGUAAACGAUGAUUACUAAGUGUUGGAGGGUUUCCGCCCUUCAGUGCUGCAGCUAACGCAUUAAGUAAUCCGCCUGGGGAGUACGACCGCAAGGUUGAAACUCAAAAGAAUUGACGGGGGCCCGCACAAGCGGUGGAGCAUGUGGUUUAAUUCGAAGCUACGCGAAGAACCUUACCAGGUCUUGACAUCUUCUGCCAACCUAAGAGAUUAGGCGUUCCCUUCGGGGACAGAAUGACAGGUGGUGCAUGGUUGUCGUCAGCUCGUGUCGUGAGAUGUUGGGUUAAGUCCCGCAACGAGCGCAACCCUUAUUACUAGUUGCCACGCAAGUUGGGCACUCUAGUGAGACUGCCGGUGACAAACCGGAGGAAGGUGGGGACGACGUCAAAUCAUCAUGCCCCUUAUGACCUGGGCUACACACGUGCUACAAUGGAUGGU